GUGGUUGUAGCUCAGUUGGCAGAGCUCUUGGUUGUGGUCCAAGUGGUCGCGGGUUCAAGUCCCGUCAACCACCCCA
RNAcentral lists this transfer RNA (76 nucleotides) under bacterium (Candidatus Howlettbacteria) CG_4_10_14_3_um_filter_37_10. Its description in RNAcentral is "tRNA-His". It matches the Rfam family "tRNA". Rfam says of the family: Transfer RNA (tRNA) molecules are approximately 80 nucleotides in length. Their secondary structure includes four short double-helical elements and three loops (D, anti-codon, and T loops). The record is from RNAcentral. RNAcentral also lists the same sequence under 1 other name.